Molecule: non-coding RNA, 645 nt
Organism: Drosophila melanogaster (fruit fly)
Lineage: Eukaryota; Metazoa; Arthropoda; Insecta; Diptera; Drosophilidae
Source: Ensembl
ACUGCACAGUUCAUCCUGAGAAUAUCCUUCUGGCUCAUUUUUGUUCUUUCUGGGGACACCGAAAAAGGGCCAUAUUUCACCCAACAGGAGCCAGAGUGCGGAUAUAAGGACUGGGAACUGUGACCAAAAUUAAGCACACAGAGCACAACUACACGAAAACGUAAUAAAAUCAUAAUCGUCGGAUCAACACAGUCAUCAGCGGUGUCACAACAGGCUACCAGUGGAUGAUGAGGACGGAAAGCGAGGACGCAGACAGCCAAGGAUGCCACUGAAGACCCAAGGAGCAGCACAGAGCAGCCGGGAGCAGCAAGGAGCAGCGAAAUUGCACAAGCAAUUGCCAGGCGAAACUCAACGGUAAUUACAGUAAUAAUUCAAAAGAGAUUUGCCCCCACCUCGUCCAAAAAAAAAAAAAAAAAAUAGAGCAAAAAACAACACUCCAGCCAAGGAGAUGGGCGAAGGUUCGGAAAACUAAGAGACAAUGAAGGCGACGAUGCAAUCCGGGCCAAAAGUGGCAAUUGCCACGGCCAGAGACGGAACUGCACAGUGGGCCUGGAUGAAUGGAAUGAGUAAGGGAAAUAUAUACAAGAUUAUUAUAUUGAUAUUAUCAAUAAACAAUGGAACAAGCCUUAGUUUUAGCAGACUGAU